This 726-nucleotide long non-coding RNA is filed under the name Rattus norvegicus (Norway rat). Its description in RNAcentral is "long non-coding RNA NONRATT000308". The record is from RNAcentral. Lineage: Eukaryota; Metazoa; Chordata; Mammalia; Rodentia; Muridae.
GCAGUACCAGUCAGAAUUCUCCAUGAGUGCUGUGACCUCCACCCACUCGGGCACCUACAGGUGCUAUGGUUCUCUCGACUCAGCUCUCUACCUGUUGUCAUUUGCCAGUGCCCCUGUGGAGCUCAUAGUCUCAGGUAAGGUUGUUCUGACAUCUCAGAGUGACUUAAAUACAAAACAUAGAUCUUUUGACUUCAGGGGUAUUAAGAGGACAACAUGAAUGGUUAGUCCAAAGGCACAUUCAACAGCAUAGAACUGGAUGUCAGCAAUAAUCCUUCAUGUAAUAGUCCCUCUGUCUUAGGCCACUUACAGGACAUAAGUAGCACACACAGCAGGAAGAAUAUCCUCUUCUUGUUCUGUCUCCAAGAUGCGUUGAAGCCUCCAGCUGGCCAACUAAAAGGUUCAUCACAACAGCCUGUAAGUAUUAGGCACCACAUUAUAGGGAAUAUGCGGCAAACACAGGCAGCCUACGAAAUAGCUCUUGUUAAUCACAGUUCUCACUUCUGUCACUUGAAUUCAUGAGUAUGAAAGACCAACAAAUAUUCCAAAGGACAAUCCAUAUGCUAAGGCUUAACUGUUGAACUACAAAUGAUAGCAUCCAAAGAGACACAGUUAGCCUCUCCCUGGAUGAUGGGGCAAGUGUGUAAACUUAUGAGGAAAUAACCUAGAAAUUCGCCUCUCCAUGAUUGCCUGAAGAAACAUUACACCUGCACAGAGUCAGGCCCAAGA